GAUGAACGCUAGCUACAGGCUUAACACAUGCAAGUCGAGGGGAAACGACAUCGAAAGCUUGCUUUGAUGGGCGUCGACCGGCGCACGGGUGAGUAACGCGUAUCCAACCUGCCCACCACUUGGGGAUAACCUUGCGAAAGUAAGACUAAUACCCGAUGAUAUCUCUAGAAGACAUCUGAAAGGGAUUAAAGAUUUAUCGGUGAUGGAUGGGGAUGCGUCUGAUUAGCUUGUUGGCGGGGUAACGGCCCACCAAGGCAACGAUCAGUAGGGGUUCUGAGAGGAAGGUCCCCCACAUUGGAACUGAGACACGGUCCAAACUCCUACGGGAGGCAGCAGUGAGGAAUAUUGGUCAAUGGGCGAGAGCCUGAACCAGCCAAGUAGCGUGCAGGAAGACGGCCCUAUGGGUUGUAAACUGCUUUUAUAGGGGAAUAAAGUGAGCCACGUGUGGUUUUUUGCAUGUACCUUAUGAAUAAGGACCGGCUAAUUCCGUG
RNAcentral lists this ribosomal RNA (491 nucleotides) under uncultured bacterium. Its description in RNAcentral is "bacterial SSU rRNA". It matches the Rfam family "Bacterial small subunit ribosomal RNA", at positions 28 to 507 of the family's 1533-position model. The record is from RNAcentral.